Molecule: ribosomal RNA, 373 nt
Filed under: uncultured bacterium
Lineage: Bacteria
Description: bacterial SSU rRNA
Rfam family: Bacterial small subunit ribosomal RNA
Source: RNAcentral
AGUCGAACGAAGUACAAUACUUAGUGGCAGACGGGUGAGUAACAUGUAGGUAUCUGCCCUUUGGCCUGGAAUAACACGAGGAAACUUGUGCUAAUACCGGAUAAGUCUUUACGGAGAAAGCUUUAUGCACCAUUGGAUGAGCCUGCACUUGAUUAGUUUGUUGGUGGGGUAAUGGCCUACCAAGACUGUGAUCAAUAGCUGAUUUGAGAGGAUGAUCAGCCACAUUGGGACUGAAACACGGCCCAAACUCCUACGGGAGGCAGCAGUGGGGAAUCUUGCACAAUGGAGGAAACUCUGAUGCAGCGAUGCCGCGUGAGUGAAGAAGGCCCUUGGGCUGUAAAGCUCUUUCGUCGGGGAAGAAAAUGACUGUACC